Molecule: ribosomal RNA, 477 nt
Filed under: Bacillus cereus
Lineage: Bacteria; Bacillati; Bacillota; Bacilli; Caryophanales; Bacillaceae
Description: bacterial SSU rRNA
Rfam family: Bacterial small subunit ribosomal RNA
Source: RNAcentral
UGACUUUCGCGUCGGACAGGUGAGUAACACGUGGGUAACCUGCCCAUAAGACUGGGAUAACUCCGGGAAACCGGGGCUAAUACCGGAUAACAUUUUGAACCGCAUGGUUCGAAAUUGAAAGGCGGCUUCCGCUGUCACUUAUGGAUGGACCCGCGUCCCAUUAACUAGUUGGUGAAGUAACGGCUCACCAAGGGAAAGGUGCGUAACCCAACUCAAAAGGUCAACCGCCCCCACACGAAUUGAAAAACGGCCAAAAGUCCAAUCGAGCCGGCAUACUGGAAUCUUCCCCAAUGGACGAGGGUCUGAGGGACCAGGGCUCGGUCAGUGAUGAAGGCUUUCCCGUCCUUUCACUCUGUUGUUAGGGAAAAACACCUGCCAGCUGAAGAAUCUGGCUUCUUGACGGUACACCCACCAUAAAGCGACGUCUAAGUAGGUGCCAACCCCCCGCGGUGGUACUUCGGGUGGGCAGCGUUUUCC